This 226-nucleotide long non-coding RNA is filed under the name Phoenix dactylifera (date palm). RNAcentral's name for it is "long non-coding RNA (PDAC_LNC006556)". The record is from RNAcentral. Lineage: Eukaryota; Viridiplantae; Streptophyta; Magnoliopsida; Arecales; Arecaceae.
ACCACCUGAUUUUGGAGAGCCUUCACCAUGAUCUCCAACUCCUCGUUACGCCGCAGCACUUCCUUAUAGCGCUGCUCCAUAUCGAAGGAAAUCUGGUUCAGCUGAGCGGCGAUCUCACCUCGGAGGGUUGCGUCCCUACCCUCAAGGUCCUCCAUCCGUCCUUCAACCUCAGCUAUUUGGGCCUCGCACCUCCGUAAUCGAUUGUUGGCGGAGAUAACCGGAGAUG